This is a non-coding RNA of Acanthosepion pharaonis, 100 nucleotides long. NCBI's taxonomy places the organism in Eukaryota, Metazoa, Mollusca, Cephalopoda, Sepiida, Sepiidae. The record is from the annotation of a GenBank genome assembly.
UGUUGAAACAUUGCAUCCCAUAUGAUCACCUAAGUUAAGCAACAUUGAGCCUGAUCAGUAUCUUGAUGGGUGACCACUUGGGUAUACAAGGUGCUGUAAG